UGCCUUUUCUCUUACCCAGAAGUGAGAGC
This 29-nucleotide non-coding RNA is filed under the name Mus musculus (house mouse). The record is from RNAcentral. Lineage: Eukaryota; Metazoa; Chordata; Mammalia; Rodentia; Muridae.